UUUAAGAUUACAACACCAUCAUAAAGUCAGCAAUCUCAGCGCGCCAGCUUCCGAAGCUAACUUGUUUGCCGAAUUUUUUUUAAGCGGCCCGUCUCUUAGCUCAUUAAUUCUGCUUAUUUUCAUACCCUCAGCGGAGUAUUUUAAAUAUGGAACCAUGUCUAUAGCUGGAAGGGUGUGCAGAAGCCAAGGUGCAGCAGCGAUAUCUUUCUUGCCACUUAGCUGCGUGAUCAGCAUCAACGUCGCCAUCAGCACAACAUCAAGCAUCGACAUUAAUUUCGGAUGUUUAGGUUUCAUUUUGGAACACUGCGCAAAUUUGGUCAAAUCUGGCCGAAAACCGUGGUUUGAGGUUGUUGAUUGAUGAAUCGUGCACUAAAAAUGAUCAUGUUCUAAAACAUAAUGAAAAGCAAAUACUCUUACAUACAAGUAUCUACAAUUUCAACAAAUUACGAAACU
Long non-coding RNA from Drosophila santomea, 453 nucleotides. RefSeq lists it as uncharacterized. The record is from RefSeq and is a predicted model, not a curated record. The transcript is spliced from 3 exons. NCBI's taxonomy places the organism in Eukaryota, Metazoa, Arthropoda, Insecta, Diptera, Drosophilidae.